RNAcentral lists this ribosomal RNA (497 nucleotides) under uncultured bacterium. RNAcentral describes it as "partial 16S ribosomal RNA". It matches the Rfam family "Bacterial small subunit ribosomal RNA", at positions 28 to 507 of the family's 1533-position model. The record is from RNAcentral.
GAUGAACGCUGGCGGCGUGCCUAAUACAUGCAAGUCGAGCGAACGGACGAGAAGCUUGCUUCUCUGAUGUUAGCGGCGGACGGGUGAGUAACACGUGGAUAACCUACCUAUAAGACUGGGAUAACUUCGGGAAACCGGAGCUAAUACCGGAUAAUAUUUUGAACCGCAUGGUUCAAAAGUGAAAGACGGUCUUGCUGUCCCUUAUAGAUGGAUCCGCGCUGCAUUAGCUAGUUGGUAAGGUAACGGCUUACCAAGGCAACGAUGCAUAGCCGACCUGAGAGGGGGAACGGCCACACUGGAACUGAGACACGGUCCAGAGUCCUACGGGAGGCAGCAGUAGGGAAUCUACCGCAAUGGGCGAAAGCCUGACGGAGCAACGCCGCGUGAGUGAUGAAGGUCUUCGGAUCGUAAAACUCUGUUAUUAGGGAAGAACAUAUGUGGAAGUAACUGUGCACAUCUUGACGGUACCUAAUCAGAAAGCCACGGCUAACUACGUG